RNAcentral lists this ribosomal RNA (376 nucleotides) under uncultured bacterium. RNAcentral describes it as "bacterial SSU rRNA". It matches the Rfam family "Bacterial small subunit ribosomal RNA", at positions 28 to 402 of the family's 1533-position model. The record is from RNAcentral.
GAUGAACGCUAGCGGCAGGCCUAAUACAUGCAAGCCGAACGGCAAGUCUGAUAGCAAUAUUAGACCUAGAGUGGCGUAAGGGUGCGUAACACGUAUGCAAUCUACCCGCAACAGGAGGAUAGCUCGGGGAAACUCGAAUUAACCCUCCAUAAGAUCUUAGACCGGCAUCGGUUAGAGAUUAAAUCUGAGGAGGUUGCGGAUGAGCAUGCGUCUGAUUAGCUAGUUGGCGGGGUAAUGGCCCACCAAGGCGAUGAUCAGUAGGGGAACUGAGAGGUUGAUCCCCCACACUGGCACUGAGAUACGGGCCAGACUCCUACGGGGAGCAGCAGUAGGGAUAUGGACAAUGGGUAGAAAGCCUGAUCCAGCCAUGCCGCGU